RNAcentral lists this ribosomal RNA (402 nucleotides) under uncultured bacterium. RNAcentral's name for it is "partial 16S ribosomal RNA". It matches the Rfam family "Bacterial small subunit ribosomal RNA", at positions 355 to 774 of the family's 1533-position model. The record is from RNAcentral. RNAcentral also lists the same sequence under 1 other name.
UGGGGAAUAUUGGACAAUGGGCGAAAGCCUGAUCCAGCAAUGCCGCGUGAGUGAUGAAGGCCUUAGGGUUGUAAAGCUCUUUUACCCGGGAUGAUAAUGACAGUACCGGGAGAAUAAGCUCCGGCUAACUCCGUGCCAGCAGCCGCGGUAAUACGGAGGGAGCUAGCGUUGUUCGGAAUUACUGGGCGUAAAGCGCACGUAGGCGGCUUUGUAAGUUAGAGGUGAAAGCCUGGAGCUCAACUCCAGAAUUGCCUUUAAGACUGCAUCGCUCGAAUCCAGGAGAGGUGAGUGGAAUUCCGAGUGUAGAGGUGAAAUUCGUAGAUAUUCGGAAGAACACCAGUGGCGAAGGCGGCUCACUGGACUGGUAUUGACGCUGAGGUGCGAAAGCGUGGGGAGCAAACA